GUACGACAUGUGGAUGUUGGUGAAGCAAGGUACUUGCCAAAAUGCUACAUCAGAAUCAGUGUUGAGCAUUGCCGAGUGGAUGCUAUAUUUUAUUAACUUUCAUGUGAUAAAAGUGGAAUACAGUGCAAACCAAUGCAGACUGAAAUCUUUGGAUUUACAAAGACAAUGAGUUUCUAGUAGUGGACACCUGUAGAACGUUCAAGUAAAUGGCUCGGAAUAUAGGCUGCGUUAUCUGGUUCAUUCCAAGUAAGGGUGGUGCUGAGAAAUCAUUCAGCUAUGGUACCUAUAGUUAUAUUCUCUUUGGACAACUAUGGAGGCUAAUGAGCAUUGUGCAGAGAACAUCUGGGCUGCAGAGUUCACACAGCUGGAUAAAUGUUGCACCCUGUGGUUGCUUUAUUCCCUCUUGGAUGGAAAAGGAGGUGCCGAGCAUAUUAUCUGACCUGGACAGAAGGCCAAGAUGGCGUGGUGGCAACAGUGUUUCCAUUCUGCCUGCAUUUGUCCUCAUUUCCCCUUUUCUCUGCAUCCACACUGAAAUAAAACUGAG
This 544-nucleotide long non-coding RNA is filed under the name Salvator merianae (Argentine black and white tegu). Its description in RNAcentral is "lncRNA (ENSSMRG00000005101.1)". The record is from RNAcentral. Lineage: Eukaryota; Metazoa; Chordata; Lepidosauria; Squamata; Teiidae.